GAAGAGAGAAUCAACCAAGGGGAGAUGGUCCCAGAAGUCAAACAGAAGGGAGUGAUUCGCUGUGAUGAAUGCUGCAGAGGCCAAAUAAGGAAAAGAAGACAGCAAGAAGAAGCCACUUUGAGCCCCUAUGAUUUCAUCUUUGAUCCACUCAUCCAGCACUCCAUACUCCUUGAUCCCUACCCACCAAAUUCUCCUUAAAAGCCCUGGUCUCCAAAUGUUCAAGGCGACCGAUUUGAGUAAUAAAACUCUAGUCUCCCAUUUA
Molecule: long non-coding RNA, 262 nt
Filed under: Homo sapiens (human)
Lineage: Eukaryota; Metazoa; Chordata; Mammalia; Primates; Hominidae
Description: HSALNT0328928
Source: RNAcentral